GUGAGGAAUUUUCCGCAAUGGGCGAAAGCCUGACGGAGCAAUGCCGCGUGAAGGAUGAAGGCCUAUGGGUUGUAAACUUCUUUUCUCAGAAAAGAAUUAUGACGGUAUCUGAGGAAUAAGCAUCGGCUAACUCUGUGCCAGCAGCCGCGGUAAGACAGAGGAUGCAAGCGUUAUCCGGAAUGAUUGGGCGUAAAGCGUCUGUAGGUUGUUUAAAAAGUAUUCUGUCAAAGAUUAGGGCUUAACCCUAGAUAGGCAGAAUAAACUUUUAAGCUAGAGUUUGGUAGAGGCAGAGGGAAUUCCCGGUGGAGCGGUGAAAUGCGUAGAUAUCGGGAGGAACACCAAAGGCGAAGGGACUCUGCUGGGCCAAUACUAACACUGAGAGACGAAAGCGAGGGGAGCAAAUGGGAUUAGAAACCCCUGUAGUCC
This 426-nucleotide ribosomal RNA is filed under the name uncultured bacterium. RNAcentral describes it as "partial 16S ribosomal RNA". It matches the Rfam family "Bacterial small subunit ribosomal RNA", at positions 354 to 796 of the family's 1533-position model. The record is from RNAcentral.